UUUAAGCGUGUAGGCUGGUUUUCCAGGCAAAUCCGGAAAAUCAAGGCUGAGGCGUGAUGACGAGGCACUACGGUGCUGAAGCAACAAAUGCCCUGCUUCCAGGAAAAGCCUCUAAGCAUCAGGUAACAUCAAAUCGUACCCCAAACCGACACAGGUGGUCAGGUAGAGAAUACCAAGGCGCUUGAGAGAACUCGGGUGAAGGAACUAGGCAAAAUGGUGCCGUAACUUCGGGAGAAGGCACGCUGACACGUAGGUGAAGUGAUUUACUCAUGGAGCUGAAGUCAGUCGAAGAUACCAGCUGGCUGCAACUGUUUAUUAAAAACACAGCACUGUGCAAACACGAAAGUGGACGUAUACGGUGUGAC
This 365-nucleotide ribosomal RNA is filed under the name Salmonella enterica subsp. enterica serovar Enteritidis. Its description in RNAcentral is "partial 23S ribosomal RNA". It matches the Rfam family "Bacterial large subunit ribosomal RNA", at positions 1511 to 1856 of the family's 2925-position model. The record is from RNAcentral. Lineage: Bacteria; Pseudomonadati; Pseudomonadota; Gammaproteobacteria; Enterobacterales; Enterobacteriaceae.